CAGGAUGAACGCUAGCUACAGGCUUAACACAUGCAAGUCGAGGGGCAGCAUGAAACUUAGCUUGCUAAGUUUGAUGGCGACCGGCGCACGGGUGAGUAACACGUAUCCAACCUACCGUUUACUACGGGAUAGCCUUCUGAAAAGGAGAUUAAUACCGUAUGGCAUUCUAAAGUUUCAUGACAUUAGAAUUAAAGGUUUACCGGUAAUCGAUGGGGGAUGCGUUCCAUUAGAUAGUAGGCGGGGUAACGGCCCACCUAGUCUACGAUGGAUAGGGGUUCUGAGAGGAAGGUCCCCCCACAUUGGAACUGAGACACGGUCCAAACUCCUACGGGAGGCAGCAGUGAGGAAUAUUGGUCAAUGGGCGCGAGCCUGAACCAGCCAAGUAGCGUAGAAGGAUGACUGCCCUAUGGGUUGUAAACUUCUUUUAUAAAGGAAUAAAGUAGUCCACGUGUGGAUUUUUGUAUGUACUUUAUGAAUAAGGAUCGGCUAACUCCGUGCCAGCCGCAGC
This 508-nucleotide ribosomal RNA is filed under the name uncultured bacterium. Its description in RNAcentral is "bacterial SSU rRNA". It matches the Rfam family "Bacterial small subunit ribosomal RNA", at positions 25 to 518 of the family's 1533-position model. The record is from RNAcentral.